This 344-nucleotide ribosomal RNA is filed under the name uncultured bacterium. RNAcentral describes it as "bacterial SSU rRNA". It matches the Rfam family "Bacterial small subunit ribosomal RNA", at positions 147 to 507 of the family's 1533-position model. The record is from RNAcentral.
GCCUUGGAAACGAGGUCUAAUACCAAAGUACCUUCCUUUUAACACAUGUUAAAAGAGAAAUGCUCCGGCGCUUUGGGAUGGUCUCGCGAUCUAUCAGCUUGUUGGUGAGGUAAACGGGCUCACCAAGGCAUCGACGGAUAGCUGGUCUGAGAGGAUGUCCAGCCACAUUGGAACUGAGACACGGUCCAAACUCCUACGGGAGGCAGCAGUAGGGAAUCUUGCACAAUGAGGGAAACCUUGAUGCAGCGACGCCGCGUGCGGGACGAAGGCCCUAGGGUUGUAAACCGCUUUCAGUAGGGACGAAAGUGACGGUACCUACAGAAGAAGCCCCGGCCAACUAUGUG